This 467-nucleotide ribosomal RNA is filed under the name uncultured bacterium. RNAcentral describes it as "partial 16S ribosomal RNA". It matches the Rfam family "Bacterial small subunit ribosomal RNA", at positions 28 to 507 of the family's 1533-position model. The record is from RNAcentral.
GACGAACGCUGGCGGCGUGCUUAACACAUGCAAGUCGAACGGAAAGGCCCUGCUUUUGUAGGGUGCUCGAGUGGCGAACGGGUGAGUAACACGUGAGUAACCUGCCUUGACUUUGGGGUAACUUUAGGAAACUGGGGCUAAUACCGGAUAGGAGCUCCUGCUGCAUGGGGGGGGGUGGAAAGUUUCGGCGGUUGGGGAUGGACUCGCGGCUUAUCAGCUUGUUGGUGGGGUAGUGGCUUACCAAGGCUUUGACGGGUAGCCGGCCUGAGAGGGUGACCGGCCACAUUGGGACUGAGAUACGGCCCAGACUCCUACGGGAGGCAGCAGUGGGGAAUAUUGCACAAUGGGCGGAAGCCUGAUGCAGCAACGCCGCGUGCGGGAUGACGGCCUUCGGGUUGUAAACCGCUUUCGCCUGUGACGAAGCGUGAGUGACGGUAAUGGGUAAAGAAGCACCGGCUAACUACGUG